GACGAACGCUGGCGGCGUGCCUAAUACAUGCAAGUCGAGCGAAGUUUUUCUGGUGCUUGCACUAGAAAAACUUAGCGGCGAACGGGUGAGUAACACGUAAAGAACCUGCCUCAUAGACUGGGACAACUAUUGGAAACGAUAGCUAAUACCGGAUAACAGUAUUUCUCGCAUGAGAGAUAUUUAAAAGUUGGUUAUGCUAACACUAUGAGAUGGCUUUGCGGUGCAUUAGCUAGUUGGUGGGGUAAAGGCCCACCAAGGCGACGAUGCAUAGCCGACCUGAGAGGGUGAUCGGCCACACUGGGACUGAGACACGGCCCAGACUCCUACGGGAGGCAGCAGUAGGGAAUCUUCCGCAAUGGGCGAAAGCCUGACGGAGCAACGCCGCGUGAGUGAAGAAGGAUUUCGGUUCGUAAAGCUCUGUUGUUAGGGAAGAAUGGAUAUGUAGUAACUAUACAUGUAAGAGACGGUACCUAACCAGAAAGCGACGGCUAACUACGUG
RNAcentral lists this ribosomal RNA (499 nucleotides) under uncultured bacterium. RNAcentral's name for it is "partial 16S ribosomal RNA". It matches the Rfam family "Bacterial small subunit ribosomal RNA", at positions 28 to 507 of the family's 1533-position model. The record is from RNAcentral.